UGGGGAAUUUUGGACAAUGGGGGCAACCCUGAUCCAGCAAUGCCGCGUGUGUGAAGAAGGCCUUCGGGUUGUAAAGCACUUUUGUCCGGAAAGAAAACUUCGGGGCUAAUACCCCUGGAGGAUGACGGUACCGGAAGAAUAAGCACAGGCUAACUACGUGCCAGCAGCCGCGGUAAUACGUAGGGUGCGAGCGUUAAUCGGAAUUACUGGGCGUAAAGCGUGCGCAGGCGGUGCUGUAAGACCGAUGUGAAAUCCCCGGGCUUAACCUGGGAACUGCAUUGGUGACUGCAGCGCUGGAGUAUGGCAGAGGGGGGUGGAAUUCCACGUGUAGCAGUGAAAUGCGUAGAGAUGUGGAGGAACACCGAUGGCGAAGGCAGCCCCCUGGGCCAAUACUGACGCUCAUGCACGAAAGCGUGGGGAGCAAACAGG
RNAcentral lists this ribosomal RNA (429 nucleotides) under Bacillota bacterium. RNAcentral describes it as "Firmicutes bacterium partial 16S ribosomal RNA". It matches the Rfam family "Bacterial small subunit ribosomal RNA", at positions 355 to 776 of the family's 1533-position model. Lineage: Bacteria; Bacillati; Bacillota. The record is from RNAcentral.